Small nuclear RNA from Sorex fumeus (smoky shrew), 169 nucleotides. RefSeq annotates it as U1 spliceosomal RNA. Lineage: Eukaryota; Metazoa; Chordata; Mammalia; Eulipotyphla; Soricidae. The record is from RefSeq and is a predicted model, not a curated record. The transcript has a single exon.
AUACUUACCUGGUAGUGCAAAUGUCAUGAUCACAAAGGUGAUUUUCCCAGGGCAAAGCUUAUUUAUUGAACUCCUGAAAUGGAUGCGCUGACCCCUGAGAUUUCCCAAAAUUUGAGAAGCCAUCUGCAUAAUUUGUGGUAGUUGUGGACUACAUUCACAUUCUCCACUA